Molecule: long non-coding RNA, 264 nt
Organism: Boleophthalmus pectinirostris (great blue-spotted mudskipper)
Lineage: Eukaryota; Metazoa; Chordata; Actinopteri; Gobiiformes; Gobiidae
Exons: 3
Source: RefSeq, a predicted model, not a curated record
CGACCGCUGACGUUGCACGCUGGCGGAGCCAAGCUGUCAUGGCCGCAAGACGCGAGGCCCCGAGUGGACCACGUUUAGGCGCACUAAGUUUACUGUUGCAAGGUGUUCAGCGCAGUAAUUGCGGAGAGUGUGCGGGCAUCGUGGGGCUUUUGUGUCUCGGCGCUGGGCGGUCCUCUGCGUGUUUGGGUGGCGUGCCGCGGUGAAUUCUACACGGCUCCUGCUGGCGGGAAGCCUCCCCUUUUCUUUCUCUUUUCUUUCUCCGUG